AAGAAUUUAGUUUAGCUAAAACAUUACCUUGUCAAGAUAAAAACAUAAUACAAAAAUUAUAAUUCUUA
Molecule: transfer RNA, 68 nt
Filed under: Largus sp.
Lineage: Eukaryota; Metazoa; Arthropoda; Insecta; Hemiptera; Largidae
Description: tRNA-Asp
Rfam family: tRNA
About the family: Transfer RNA (tRNA) molecules are approximately 80 nucleotides in length. Their secondary structure includes four short double-helical elements and three loops (D, anti-codon, and T loops).
Source: RNAcentral